RNAcentral lists this long non-coding RNA (372 nucleotides) under Vitis vinifera (wine grape). RNAcentral describes it as "long non-coding RNA (VVIN_LNC005942)". The record is from RNAcentral. Lineage: Eukaryota; Viridiplantae; Streptophyta; Magnoliopsida; Vitales; Vitaceae.
UCUCCCGCAUCGUCACCGACUGCUUCUCCUACUAAGUCGCCAACGGCUUCUCCUCCGGUGGCCACUCCCCCGUCUCCAACACCUUCUCCAUCCACCACUCCUUCUGCCCCUGCUCCCGCCCCAUCCACCGUAUCACCACCAGCCUCUACUCCAUCUCCUACAUCGGGUUCUCCUCCCGCACCUCCAACGAGUCCUGCUUCGCCACCCACCACUGGUGCCUCACCGUCUCCUUCCAUCAGCACUCCUCCCACAGAGCCUCCGUCUCCUAGCGCCGCCGCUUUGAACACGGUCACUUUUACCGGAUCUGCAGCCGCGGUCUUCCUUGGUGCUUUCUUGCUGCUCAAGAUCUGAUCUGCUCUUUUCUCCUUUGCC